UGUGCUGGGCAAUGGGCGGGGGCAAGAGAUGGGGUUGAAGAAGGCAGCAGCGUUCAGGCCACGGAGGGCUGUGUAGGUCAGGGGACGGGAGCACUGGGGAGCCACAGCAGGCUCUGAGCAGGGGAAAGACCUGACAGCAGCAGGUUUGUGGUGUAGCAAGAUCCUUCUAGAUGGGAGGAGGUGAGACU
Ceratotherium simum simum (southern white rhinoceros) is the source of this 188-nucleotide non-coding RNA. Lineage: Eukaryota; Metazoa; Chordata; Mammalia; Perissodactyla; Rhinocerotidae. The record is from RefSeq and is a predicted model, not a curated record.